CCGAUCCCCAAAGCAAUGUGUGUUUGUCAAACCAUGGAAGUGAGGCAGUAUGGCAAGAACGCAAGUCGGGCCGGAGUUGGAGGAGUUUUCCUGGAGCCCUUUAUCCAUCAGGUGGGCGGACACAGCAGCAUGAUGCGGUAUAAGGAUCACACUGUGUGCAAACCUCUCAUCUCACGGGAACAGCGCUUCUACGAGUCACUCCCUCCCGAAAUGAAGGAAUUCACCCCAGAAUACAAAGGCGUGGUUUCUGUCUGUUUUGAGGGAGACAGUGAUGGUUACAUCAACUUGGUAGCCUACCCUUAGGUGGAGAGUGAAACUAGAGCAAGAUGACACACCAGAGCGGGAGCAACCGCGGCGCAAACACGCUGGAGCCUGCAUCGGUCUGGCUGUGGUAGUGACCACAAGGAGAAGAAAGCCAGCCUGUCCUUUGAGACCUCUGAGAGCUCCCAGGAGGCAAAGAGUCCAAAGGUGGAGCCGCACAGCCACUCAGAUGUCCCUUUCCAGAUGCUAGACAGCGAUAGCGGUCUGAGCUCUGAGAAGAUCAGCUACAACCCCUGGAGCCUGCGUUGCUGCAAGCAGCAGCUGAGCCGCAUGCGCUCGGAGUCCAGGGACCGAAAACUCUGCAAGUUCCUCCUACUUGAGAAUGUGGUACACCACUUCAAGUACCCGUGUGUGCUGGACUUGAAGAUGGGUACCCGGCAGCAUGGGGAUGAUGCUUCAGCUGAGAAGGCAGCCUGGCAGAUGAGGAAGUAUGAGCAGAGCACAUCGGCCACGCUGGGGGUCAGGGUCUGUGGCAUGCAGAUGUACCAGCUAGACACAGGUCAUUACCUCUGCAGGAAUAAGUACUAUGGUCGUGGACUCUCCAUCGAAGGCUUCCUCAAUGCUCUCUAUCAGUAUCUGCACAAUGGCUUGGACCUGCGAUGUGACCUUUUUGAGCCUAUCCUGAGCAAACUGCGGGGCCUCAAAGCUGUGCUGGAGCAGCAGGCCUCCUACCUCUUCUACUCCAGUUCCCUGCUUGUCAUCUAUGAUGGCAAGGAGUGCCGAUCUGAGCUACGUCUCAAGCACGUGGACAUGGGGUUCCCUGAGGUGCCACCCCUCUGUGGCCCCAGCUCCAGCCCUAGCAACACCAAUCUUGAGGCUGGCCCCUCUUCUCCGCCCAAGGUGGAUGUCCGCAUGAUUGACUUCGCACACAGCACAUUCAAAGGCUUCCGGGAUGACCCCACAGUUCACGAUGGGCCAGACAGAGGCUUUGUGUUUGGCUUGGAGAAUCUUAUCAGCAUCAUGGAGCAGAUGCAGGAUGAGAACCAGUAGGCCCAGUUCUGGGCCCUAGGACCCCUUCCUCUCCACCCACAGGCAGGGACCAUUGCUCUGAACUUGCUGUG
Arvicanthis niloticus (Nile rat) is the source of this 1382-nucleotide non-coding RNA. NCBI's taxonomy places the organism in Eukaryota, Metazoa, Chordata, Mammalia, Rodentia, Muridae. The record is from RefSeq and is a predicted model, not a curated record.